UAUUUUUGAGCAAGACCACAAUACUAAUAAGGUAUUUUAAGGAGUACUUAAUAACUCCCUCAAAAC
RNAcentral lists this transfer RNA (66 nucleotides) under Pseudochirulus herbertensis (Herbert river ringtail). RNAcentral's name for it is "tRNA-Lys". The record is from RNAcentral. Lineage: Eukaryota; Metazoa; Chordata; Mammalia; Diprotodontia; Pseudocheiridae.